This 315-nucleotide ribosomal RNA is filed under the name uncultured bacterium. Its description in RNAcentral is "bacterial SSU rRNA". It matches the Rfam family "Bacterial small subunit ribosomal RNA", at positions 29 to 343 of the family's 1533-position model. The record is from RNAcentral.
AACGAACGCUGGCGGCGUGGAUAAGACAUGCAAGUCGAACGAGAACUACAUGAAGCUUGCUUUGAGUAGUUCUAGUGGCGGACGGGUGCGUAACACGUGAGCCACCUUCCCUGAAGUGGGGGAUAGCCCGGGGAAACCCGGAUUAAAUACCGCAUAUGGUCUUCGGAUCAAAGACGGCUUCGGCUGUCGCUUCAGGAUGGGCUCGCGGCCUAUCAGCUUGAUGGUGAGGUAACGGCUCACCAUGGCGACGACGGGUAGCUGGUCUGAGAGGACGAUCAGCCACACUGGAACUGAGACACGGUCCAGACACCUACG